Bos taurus (domestic cattle) is the source of this 964-nucleotide long non-coding RNA. Lineage: Eukaryota; Metazoa; Chordata; Mammalia; Artiodactyla; Bovidae. The record is from Ensembl.
ACGCUGCGUCUGUGCACAGGUUUUUUCUAGUUGUGGCAAGCAAGGGCUACUCUUUGUUAAGGUGCAUGGGCUUCUCAUUGCGAUAGCCUCUCGUUGCGGAGCACAGGCUCUAGGGCACGUGGGCUUCAGCAGUUGCAGCACGUGGGCUCAUCAGUACAUGUACAUGGGCAUAGUUGCUCCAAAGCAUGUGGUAUUUUCCCGGACCAGGGAUUGAACCUGUGUCCCCUGCAUUGGCAGGCAGAUUCUUAACCACUGGACCACCAGGGAAGUCCCUGCCUUGUCCCUGCUAAGCCUUCAGGGAUGUAGACCCCAGACCAGUUGGACCUGAAGAUUGGUGAUGCAGACUCCUUCUUACCUCACCACCACCCCAUCAGAAGAAUGUCCAUGAGAAUCAAUCACUCCCUCUUUGAACAAUUACUAUGAAACUUCUCACAGUCUUUCCCAAGUGGGGACAUAUGCCUUUGAGGACAUGAGCCUGCUGGGUUCCCCUUUGCCUGGCAAAGCAAUAAAGCUAUCCUUUUCUACUUCGCCCCCAAACACUCUAUCUCCGAGAUUUUAUUCAGCACCAGUAUACAGAGAAGCUGAGCUUUUGGCAUCACUUUCAGACUUGACCCUGGCAUCACCUCCCCCAUCAUUCAGUCUUCCCACCUGGGUCGCCCUUGUGCUCUGUGCACACCUUCGAAUAUCUGAGGGGCUGCCUUGUAUUAGGAAUGAGACAGAUGAUGGAAACCCAGAUUGGGAGGUGGUCUUUGGGAUUUCAGAAUCAUUUAGGGAAAAGAGGCAAAAACCCCGGAGCAGAAUAGCAUAAGCAAUCCUGGAAAGUUGGCUGAGCUCCUUGAGGAUAUCAAGUCCCUUCUGCAUGACUCACAGAGAUCUCAGUGGACCUGCCCCUUGCUGCAAACUUAUAUGUAACCUGACCCCUCUCCCCACCUCCUUGGAACAGUUCUCUGAGUCCCCUGAGAUG